UUUCCAAGCCUUAAUUAAUUAAAUUUUUAAUAGGGAUUCGGGGAUAAGGUGUAGGGGUGAGAUGUUAAAUAAGAUACCCUAUAGUCUUCUUAGCUAGGAGAAUAAAGUAAAGGAAAAUUUCUGCUAUAGGAUUCUAUUUAAUUUGAUUAGGUAGUUGAUAGGGUAACGGCCUACCAAGCCAAAGAUCAAAAGUCAAGUUUGAAAGAACCUCUGGCCACAUUGGGGAUGAAAUCUCCCAAGUAGUAAUAACACUACCAGCAGUCGAGAAUAUUAGUCAAUGCUCGUAAGGUGAACUAGAACUGAAAUCAUAGAAUUUCUUCAAAUUCAUGAUGUCGUAAGGGAAAAUAAUGAUAAUACCUUACUAUGAGUGUCGUCCAAAUCUGGUGCCAGAAGACUCGGUAAGACCAGAGACGCAAACGUUAAUCAUCAUAAACAGGCGUAAAGGGUUUGUAGGCAGCUUUUAUAAAAUUAUCAAAAACUAAAUUAAAAGCUAGAAUCAAAAAGAGGUUAUAGUGUAUAACGCCUAGAGGAGGGCUGAUAUCCAUAGAUCCUAGGCAGAAUACUCAGGGCGAAGGCCACUCUCCACUAAUGAUUGACGCUGAGAAACGAAGGUUAGGGUAGGAAAUAGGAUUAGAUACCCCGGUACUCCUUUCUGUAAACGAUGAAUGGUAGUCAUUAGUUAAAUUAAAAUAACUAGAGGCGAAGUUAACACAAUAACCAUUCCGCCUUGUGAGUACUACUGCAAAGUAGAAAACAAAAAAAUUAGUCGGUCUCGAAGCAAACGGGGUGAAGCAUGUUAUUUAAUACGAUAAUCCGCGUCCCUCCUUCCCAGAACUUGCAUACAAACUAUAAAUUUUCUUUCCUGAAAAGGUAGAGGGA
RNAcentral lists this ribosomal RNA (879 nucleotides) under Ganoderma ryvardenii. RNAcentral describes it as "SSU rRNA". It matches the Rfam family "Bacterial small subunit ribosomal RNA", at positions 66 to 1017 of the family's 1533-position model. The record is from RNAcentral. Lineage: Eukaryota; Fungi; Basidiomycota; Agaricomycetes; Polyporales; Polyporaceae.